Molecule: ribosomal RNA, 218 nt
Filed under: uncultured bacterium
Lineage: Bacteria
Description: partial 16S ribosomal RNA
Rfam family: Bacterial small subunit ribosomal RNA
Source: RNAcentral
UCCUACGGGAGGCAGCAGUCGGGAAUUUUGCUCAAUGGGCGAAAGCCUGAUGCAGCAACGCCGCGUGAGGGAUGACGGCCUUCGGGUUGUAAACCUCUUUUCUCAGGGACGAUGAUGACGGUACCUGAGGAAUAAGCCACGGCAAACUACGUGCCGGCAGCCGCGGUAAUACGUAGGUGGCGAGCGUUGUCCGGAUUUACUGGGCGUAAAGAGCGCGC